This 74-nucleotide transfer RNA is filed under the name Methanomicrobiales archaeon. RNAcentral describes it as "tRNA-Val". It matches the Rfam family "tRNA". From Rfam's summary of the family: Transfer RNA (tRNA) molecules are approximately 80 nucleotides in length. The record is from RNAcentral. Lineage: Archaea; Methanobacteriati; Methanobacteriota; Methanomicrobia; Methanomicrobiales.
GGGCUCGUGGUCUAGCCGGUUAUGACGUCGCCUUCACACGGCGAAGAUCGCCAGUUCGAAUCUGGCCGAGCCCA